ACCAAGUGGACACGUGCAGCAGUCCGAGUCUAGACACUUUAAUGUGAACACAGAUCAGUACACUGCAGGUAGCACAGGUAGCAUACAGAGAAACAUCCCAAAUGAAGCUGCUGGACUCCAUUCACAUACAGUGUAUGAUAAAAAAAAAAAAAAAACACUUUUGUUUUUAAUGGCAGGAUGUCUGCUGCGGGCCUGAUGUCUCGAUACUGGUUCAGGAAGUCAACGACAGACGACAUUUUACCUCGCUGAUCGAGAGCAGCAUGUGGUUGUUAAGAGACCCGAGGCACGGUGAGCGUUGGUUAUUUAACACGAGGCGAGUCCCUGUGUGCGUCUGAGGAGGAUGGGAAUGUGUCCUCAGGUGCUGGAAGGACAUUAAUACGACCUGGACUUUUAUUUACAGAUGUAGCUCUAAAGAGAGAUGCUAAUAUAAAAGGAGACUACAAGUACUUGUAGGUGUGAAUCCUUUACAAAUAAGACCUGAAAUAAAGGUGUUAAACUCCUUAGUCCUGACGCCCUGUCCAUGUAUUACAAAGUAUGGUUAUAAAAACAGGCUCACGUGAUGGUCUGGAAAAUGUAAUCAGAAGGCAACUUGCUCAACUUGGUUAUUUAUUUGUUUAAUUAUUUCUAUAAGGCCACGUGGCUGCGAUAAAAACACCCUGAUCCAAAGAGGAGCAACACAAAUCGAGGGGGGGGGUUACAAGAGCUCAGAGGUAAUUUUGUCCCCCCCCCCACUGCCUCAGUCCUCUCUGCAGACUCCGUAGGGGCCCUUUAAAGAGGUGGCCUUAAUUCCAAAUAAUUUACCAAAGACUCUGGUGCAAAUAAUCUGCUCAAAGGCUUAAGGAGGGCUGCGUCCAAGAGUCGUCUCCAGCAUCGAUUGCUCAACGAGCGCACAGUGGCCACAUACAGUACAAACAGCUCCCAGUACAAUGCUUCCAAAAAAGGCAAAUCACGGUAAUCAUACAAAAAGCAUCUGAAAUGUAGAGAAGGAUGAAAAAAAAAGAAAAAAGAAAAAGAGGGAGAAGGAAAAAGCAGCAAAGAACUCUCAAAAUGUCAUUACUUUUCUCGAGAGCAAUUAACAGAUUUUUUUUUUUUCCUUGUUUUUCUUUUAUAAACAAACAAAAAAAUUAUUGAAACAAAAAUGCGGAUUGUGCAUGAUGUUCGCUUUCUCCGUUUUAAAAGAUGUAAUACUUAACAGAAGGGCGGCUGCAAACACAAGAAGCGUUAACGAUGGCCGGGAAUGAUGAAGUGAUUGGAAUUCAAAUGAAACUGUAGAGGAGUGGGGGUGGGGGUGAAGGGGGGUGGGGGGGCGCUGGACGGAGAGAGCAAAAAGCUUGAAUCAAAACAUAAUCCAGAAGUGGCUCCGGACAGAAAAGAAACAAUGGAAUGACAGCAGGAGAGAGAGAAAGAAAGAGAGAGGGAGAGAGAGAGAGA
Molecule: long non-coding RNA, 1431 nt
Organism: Labrus mixtus (cuckoo wrasse)
Lineage: Eukaryota; Metazoa; Chordata; Actinopteri; Labriformes; Labridae
Exons: 2
Source: RefSeq, a predicted model, not a curated record